GACAGAGGGUGCUAGCGUUGUUCGGAAUUACUGGGCGUAAAGCGCACGUAGGCGGAUCUUUAAGUCAGGGGUGAAAUCCUGGAGCUCAACUCCAGAACUGCCUUUGAUACUGGGGAUCUCGAGUCCGGAAGAGGUGAGUGGAACUCCGAGUGUAGAGGUGAAAUUCGUAGAUAUUCGGAAGAACACCAGUGGCGAAGGCGGCUCACUGGUCCGGUACUGACGCUGAGGUGCGAAAGCGUGGGGAGCAAACAGG
This 253-nucleotide ribosomal RNA is filed under the name uncultured bacterium. Its description in RNAcentral is "partial 16S ribosomal RNA". It matches the Rfam family "Bacterial small subunit ribosomal RNA", at positions 524 to 776 of the family's 1533-position model. The record is from RNAcentral.